AUGUCCCCCACCUCGGGGCUGAGCCAGGCAGCCCGCGUCCUUUGCAGGGGCAGGAUGCAUCUGCCCGAGCCUGGAGAGAAAAACUUGAGUGGGAGCCUGCUGAAAGGAGCAGGAACCUGCCCGCUCGCCUGGACGCUGCGGUGGCCACGAGGCCGGCACAGCCCGGGCCUGGCAUCCCUGCGGGGAGGCUCCAGCAGCCAGCUUCGCUCCUUCCCUCCCCUCUUCCCCGAGCCCAGCCCGGCAGGAUGCCCGGAGCAGCCCAGCAUCAGCUGCAGCGAGAGGUGGGGCCCUGCUGGCGUCCUGGCAGGGGGAGAGGAGAUGGCCCUGGGGGUGGGCAGGCGAGACGGAGCAGAGGAGGGAGCAAGAAAUAAAUGCGAACAGCCCGUCGGGCUCUCGGGGGAGACGGGGGCCCAGGCGGAGCGCUGCCGCGCGUGCGGAGAGAGGAGGGGGACGCAGGGGGAUGUGGGGUUGGUGAGUGGUGCCCGUGCCUCUGUGGACGUGCUUGUGCUGCUCGUUUUCACGUGCAAGAGGGGUGAUUUGCGCGUGUCGCAUGUGAGAAGCGUGCGCUGGGUGCGUGAUGUGCGUUGCGUCCAGCGCCUUCUCCAGGCGUGCUGCGCCUCGCGCGCGCGUUCGUCUCGGGGCGGAUGUGGCUACUGCCACGAGCUCAUUAGGCGAAUAUUGUUUUAUAAUCGGUGCCAUAGCAAUGGUGAGGCAGGCUCCUCGCUGCCACCUGAUCCCUCUGCCUCGUCCGCCGCACGCCCUGCAAAACUCCGAGACCAUCUGCUGAUCCGUGCCACGGGCUGGAGCCCGCCCAGAGCGUGCCGGAGGAGCUCGGCUCUGACACCUGACGGCUCCAAGCCUGGGUCCUGCCGCGGCUGCACGGGGGAGCCCCCGGUCUCUGUGCACCUGCACGGUGCCAGCACCGAGGAUAUUUAUUUAUUUACUGCGUUUCUAUGCAUCCUGCCCUUUUAUCCACGUGGUUUAUUGUUGAAGUCAUCGCCCACCCAGCGAGGAAAAGGGAAAAAUUUUGAAAUUCCCUUGCAGGGACAGUGUGUGAUGAGGAGGAGGAGGAGGAGAAUAAGCAGGGGUUUGCUGUGA
RNAcentral lists this long non-coding RNA (1098 nucleotides) under Cairina moschata (Muscovy duck). RNAcentral's name for it is "domestica (muscovy Duck (domestic type)) lncRNA (ENSCMMG00000008452.1)". Lineage: Eukaryota; Metazoa; Chordata; Aves; Anseriformes; Anatidae. The record is from RNAcentral.